RNAcentral lists this ribosomal RNA (252 nucleotides) under uncultured bacterium. RNAcentral describes it as "partial 16S ribosomal RNA". It matches the Rfam family "Bacterial small subunit ribosomal RNA", at positions 82 to 334 of the family's 1533-position model. The record is from RNAcentral.
CUGGGUUGGAUGAGUGGCGAACGGGUGAGUAACACGUGAGUAACCUGCCCUCUUCUUUGGGAUAACGGUCGGAAACGGCUGCUAAUACCGGGUAUUCACUGUCCUUCGCAUGGGGGGUGGUGGAAAGGUUUUUUCUGGUGGGGGAUGGGCUCGCGGCCUAUCAGCUUGUUGGUGGGGUGAUGGCUUACCAAGGCUUGACGGUAACCGGCCUGAGAGGGUGACCGGUCACAUUGGGACUGAGAUACGGCCCAG